GAAUGUGAGGGCGACCUAGCUGUGACCCUGCCACACCAUUGAUUGCCAAGGCCCAUUAGACUGAUGUGGUGGCCCGGUGUCUUCUUUCUCUCUCACCUCCAUGUGUGUCCGUCAGGCUUCAAGUUGCCAGUUCAAACAAUAGAAAUGUCCUUCCUAGACGCAAGAGGAUUCAUCCUUGAUAGGUG
This 185-nucleotide small nuclear RNA is filed under the name Camelus bactrianus (Bactrian camel). RNAcentral describes it as "7SK RNA". It matches the Rfam family "7SK RNA", at positions 1 to 192 of the family's 331-position model. From Rfam's summary of the family: 7SK was discovered as an abundant small nuclear RNA in the mid-70s but a possible function has only recently been suggested. Lineage: Eukaryota; Metazoa; Chordata; Mammalia; Artiodactyla; Camelidae. The record is from Rfam by way of RNAcentral. RNAcentral also lists the same sequence under 1 other name.